GACGAACGCUGGCGGCGUGCUUAACACAUGCAAGUCGAACGAUGAUGCCCAGCUUGCUGGGUGGAUUAGUGGCGAACGGGUGAGUAACACGUGAGUAACCUGCCCCUGACUCUGGGAUAAGCGUUGGAAACGACGUCUAAUACUGGAUAUGAYYACCGGCCGCAUGGUCUGGUGGUGGAAAGAUUUUUUGGUUGGGGAUGGACUCGCGGCCUAUCAGCUUGUUGGUGAGGUAAUGGCUCACCAAGGCGACGACGGGUAGCCGGCCUGAGAGGGUGACCGGCCACACUGGGACUGAGACACGGCCCAGACUCCUACGGGAGGCAGCAGUGGGGAAUAUUGCACAAUGGGCGAAAGCCUGAUGCAGCAACGCCGCGUGAGGGAUGACGGCCUUCGGGUUGUAAACCUCUUUUAGUAGGGAAGAAGCGAAAGUGACGGUACCUGCAGAAAAAGCACCGGCUAACUACGUGCCAGCAGCCGCGGUAAUACGUAGGGUGCAAGCGUUGUCCGGAAUUAUUGGGCGUAAAGAGCUCGUAGGCGGUUUGUCGCGUCUGCUGUGAAAUCCCGAGGCUCAACCUCGGGCUUGCAGUGGGUACGGGCAGACUAGAGUGCGGUAGGGGAGAUUGGAAUUCCUGGUGUAGCGGUGGAAUGCGCAGAUAUCAGGAGGAACACCGAUGGCGAAGGCAGAUCUCUGGGCCGUAACUGACGCUGAGGAGCGAAAGCGUGGGGAGCGAACAGGAUUAGAUACCCUGGUAGUCCACGCCGUAAACGUUGGGCGCUAGAUGUAGGGACCUUUCCACGGUUUCUGUGUCGUAGCUAACGCAUUAAGCGCCCCGCCUGGGGAGUACGGCCGCAAGGCUAAAACUCAAAGGAAUUGACGGGGGCCCGCACAAGCGGCGGAGCAUGCGGAUUAAUUCGAUGCAACGCGAAGAACCUUACCAAGGCUUGACAUACACCGGAAACGGCCAGAGAUGGUCGCCCCCUUGUGGUCGGUGUACAGGUGGUGCAUGGUUGUCGUCAGCUCGUGUCGUGAGAUGUUGGGUUAAGUCCCGCAACGAGCGCAACCCUCGUUCUAUGUUGCCAGCGCGUUAUGGCGGGGACUCAUAGGAGACUGCCGGGGUCAACUCGGAGGAAGGUGGGGAUGACGUCAAAUCAUCAUGCCCCUUAUGUCUUGGGCUUCACGCAUGCUACAAUGGCCGGUACAAAGGGCUGCGAUACCGUAAGGUGGAGCGAAUCCCAAAAAGCCGGUCUCAGUUCGGAUUGAGGUCUGCAACUCGACCUCAUGAAGUCGGAGUCGCUAGUAAUCGCAGAUCAGCAACGCUGCGGUGAAUACGUUCCCGGGCCUUGUACACACCGCCCGUCAAGUCAUGAAAGUCGGUAACACCCGAAGCCGGUGGCCUAACCCUUGUGGAAGGAGCCGUCGAAGGUGGGAUCGGUGAUUAGGACU
RNAcentral lists this ribosomal RNA (1444 nucleotides) under Curtobacterium oceanosedimentum. RNAcentral describes it as "16S ribosomal RNA". It matches the Rfam family "Bacterial small subunit ribosomal RNA". The record is from RNAcentral. Lineage: Bacteria; Bacillati; Actinomycetota; Actinomycetes; Micrococcales; Microbacteriaceae.